Molecule: ribosomal RNA, 548 nt
Filed under: uncultured bacterium
Lineage: Bacteria
Description: bacterial SSU rRNA
Rfam family: Bacterial small subunit ribosomal RNA
Source: RNAcentral
UGGCGGCGCGCUUACACAUGCAAGUCGAGCGAGAGAGUGGAGCAAUCCAUGAGUACAGCGGCGUACGGGUGAGUAACACGUGGGUAAUCUACCUUUUAGUGGGGAAUAACUCUGGGAAACCGGAGCUAAUACCGCAUAAUCCUGUGAAGGGAAAGCAGCAAUGCGCUGAAAGAGGAGCCCGCGGCCGAUUAGCUAGUUGGUGAGGUAACGGCCCACCAAGGCGAUGAUCGGUAGCCGGCCUGAGAGGGCACACGGCCACACUGGCACUGAAACACGGGCCAGACUCCUACGGGAGGCAGCAGUGGGGAAUCUUGCACAAUGGAGGCAACUCUGAUGCAGCGACGCCGCGUGAGCGAUGAAGCCCUUCGGGGUGUAAAGCUCCUUCGGCAGGGACGAUAAUGACGGUACCUGAAGAAGAAGCUGCGGCUAACUACGUGCCAGCAGCCGCGGUAAUACGUAGGCAGCGAGCGUUGUUCGGAAUUACUGGGCGUAAAGAGUGUGUAGGCGGUGCUCUAAGUUCGGUGUGAAAUCUCCUGGCUUAACUGGGA